AGCGGAGUAGCUCAGGUGGCAGAGCAAACGACUCAUAAUCGUUGUGUCGCGGGUUCAACUCCCGCCUCCGCUACCA
Molecule: transfer RNA, 76 nt
Filed under: Actinomycetes bacterium
Lineage: Bacteria; Bacillati; Actinomycetota; Actinomycetes
Also listed under: 3 other names
Description: tRNA-Met
Rfam family: tRNA
About the family: Transfer RNA (tRNA) molecules are approximately 80 nucleotides in length.
Source: RNAcentral